GACGAACGCUGGCGGCGUGCCUAACACAUGCAAGUCGAGCGAAUGAAGUUCCUUCGGGAACGGAUUUAGCGGCGGACGGGUGAGUAACACGUGGGCAACCUGCCUCAUAGAGGGGAAUAGCCUUCCGAAAGGGAGAUUAAUACCGCAUAAGAUUGUAGUACCGCAUGGUACAGCAAUUAAAGGAGCAAUCCGCUGAGAGAUGGGCUCGCGUCCGAUUAGUUAGUUGGUGAGGUAACGGCUCACCAAGACUACGAUCGGUAGCCGGACUGAGAGGUUGAUCGGCCACAUUGGGACUGAGACACGGCCCAGACUCCUACGGGAGGCAGCAGUGGGGGAUAUUGCGCAAUGGGGGAAACCCUGACGCAGCAACGCCGCGUGAAGGAAGAAGGUCUUCGGAUUGUAAACUUCUUUUGUCAGGGACGAAGAAAGUGACGGUACCUGACGAAUAAGCUCCGGCUAACUACGUG
Molecule: ribosomal RNA, 467 nt
Filed under: uncultured bacterium
Lineage: Bacteria
Description: bacterial SSU rRNA
Rfam family: Bacterial small subunit ribosomal RNA
Source: RNAcentral